UCGACGACAUUUCCUGGCUGU
Molecule: microRNA, 21 nt
Filed under: Picea abies (Norway spruce)
Lineage: Eukaryota; Viridiplantae; Streptophyta; Pinopsida; Pinales; Pinaceae
Description: pab-miR11423l
Source: miRBase by way of RNAcentral